RNAcentral lists this ribosomal RNA (392 nucleotides) under uncultured bacterium. RNAcentral describes it as "partial 16S ribosomal RNA". It matches the Rfam family "Bacterial small subunit ribosomal RNA", at positions 523 to 918 of the family's 1533-position model. The record is from RNAcentral.
ACACGUAGGGGCCUGACGUUGUUCGGAAUCAUUGGGCGUAAAGGGCGCGCAGGCGGCCGUCCAAGUCCGGUGUUAAAUGGUCGGGCUCAACCCGAUCAUGCGCUGGAAACUGGGCGGCUUGAGUCCCGUAGGGGAUGCCGGAAUUCCAGGUGUAGGGGGGAAAUCUGUAGAUAUCUGGAAGAACACCGAUGGCGAAGGCAGGCAUCUGGCCGGAGACUGACGCUGAGGCGCGAAGGCGCGGGGAGCGAACAGGUUUAGAUACCCUGGUAGUCCGCGCAGUAAACGAUGCGCACCAGGUGUCGGGCGGCAGCGCCCGGUACCGGAGCUAACGCGAUGAGUGCGCCGCCUGGGGAGUAUGCCCGCAAGGGUGAAACUCAAAGGAAUUGACGGGG